Molecule: long non-coding RNA, 1083 nt
Filed under: Salmo salar (Atlantic salmon)
Lineage: Eukaryota; Metazoa; Chordata; Actinopteri; Salmoniformes; Salmonidae
Description: lncRNA (ENSSSAG00000119846.1)
Source: RNAcentral
AACUCGUCAACUACUCACCACAUGCAUGCUCUGCAGUGCUAGUUAAAAGCUUAUGCUUUUGGUGCUAGAUUCAUUCGCAUGCUGCAAGAGCUCUGACAGGUUGGAGGACGUCUUCUGGAAGUUAUAAUUACUGUGUGAGUCUAUGGAAGAGGGUGAGAACCAUGAGCCACCUAGGUUUUGUUUUGAAGUCAAUGUACCCAGAGAAGGACGGAAGCUCGCUCUCCUCUGGCUACUCCAUGGUGCUACCCUACAGAGUGCUGUUGAGGCAACUGUAGACCUUCAUUGCAAAUAGCGUUUUAAUCAAUUAUUUGGUUUUUAGUUUGAUCUCAAAAGGAUAACCUUUUAAAUGUUUUACUAUUUUUAUUUUUAUGAAAUUCACUGAGGAUGGUCCUCCCCUUCCUCCUCUCAGGAGCCUCCACUGAUAUAGGAGGUUUGGUCUACAUGAAGCAUCAUCUUUACAGAGAAUGAGACAGAGCAACAGAGACAGCAUUCAUCUGAUUUCAUCUCAUCACUAAUGCCCAAAAGGUCACAAGGUACAGGGGAGCUGGAUGGGGUACCUUGCCCGUGUGUCAGACAAGAUGGACUUGCUUCAUUCCUUUCCAUACAUAAAGAAGCUGUCUCAAACUCAACACAUGCCUGCCUGCCUUUGCCGCCUGUGAGCGUCUUUUUACAUGUGCUGGACUACUCUUCACUGCAAAGCGAGCCAGGAAAGACUAGAUUCACUUUGAAAAUCAGCUCCUGCUAAAACAGAACAGAAAGUUCAGAGAGAAGGGAAGGCGUUAGCCCAACAUCAACAUAUAUGAAAAUGGCGAGUUUCUAUGUUUUGUAGUAUAAAAGAUAAAGGUCUCAGUAAAACGGCAAACUAUCAGCCAUCGGUCUGGAUGUCUCCUGUCUCUUAUACACACUGGCUGGCUGGAUGGAUGGAUGAAAAGUCCCUGGCGAUGCUGCCACGGCCACAUGUGCUCCCACCUGAUGGUGCGGAGAACUAGGGAUGUCAAAAUGGAAGGAGAGAGGUGGGGAUGGGAGAGAGAUGGACCAGAGCAGGGAGUGAGAGAGAGGGAGAAGAGAAUAGAGAGUAGGAAG